ACACAUGCAAGUCGAACGAGAGAGAAGGAGCUUGCUUCUUCGAUCGAGUGGCGAACGGGUGAGUAACGCGUGAGGAACCUGCCUCAAAGAGGGGGACAACAGUUGGAAACGACUGCUAAUACCGCAUAAGCCCACGGGUCGGCAUCGACCUGAGGGAAAAGGAGCAAUCCGCUUUGAGAUGGCCUCGCGUCCGAUUAGCUAGUUGGUGAGGUAACGGCCCACCAAGGCGACGAUCGGUAGCCGGACUGAGAGGUUGAACGGCCACAUUGGGACUGAGACACGGCCCAGACUCCUACGGGAGGCAGCAGUGGGGAAUAUUGCACAAUGGGGGAAACCCUGAUGCAGCGACGCCGCGUGGAGGAAGAAGGUCUUCGGAUUGUAAACUCCUGUUGUUGAGGAAGAUAAUGACGGUACUCAACAAGGAAGUGACGGCUAACUACGUGCCAGCAGCCGCGGUAAAACGUAGGUCACAAGCGUUGUCCGGAAUUACUGGGUGUAAAGGGAGCGCAGGCGGGAAGACAAGUUGGAAGUGAAAUCCAUGGGCUCAACCCAUGAACUGCUUUCAAAACUGUUUUUCUUGAGUAGUGCAGAGGUAGGCGGAAUUCCCGGUGUAGCGGUGGAAUGCGUAGAUAUCGGGAGGAACACCAGUGGCGAAGGCGGCCUACUGGGCACCAACUGACGCUGAGGCUCGAAAGUGUGGGUAGCAAACAGGAUUAGAUACCCUGGUAGUCCACACCGUAAACGAUGAUUACUAGGUGUUGGAGGAUUGACCCCUUCAGUGCCGCAGUUAACACAAUAAGUAAUCCACCUGGGGAGUACGACCGCA
This 826-nucleotide ribosomal RNA is filed under the name uncultured bacterium. Its description in RNAcentral is "bacterial SSU rRNA". It matches the Rfam family "Bacterial small subunit ribosomal RNA", at positions 51 to 890 of the family's 1533-position model. The record is from RNAcentral.